RNAcentral lists this long non-coding RNA (1367 nucleotides) under Cyanistes caeruleus (blue tit). Its description in RNAcentral is "lncRNA (ENSCCEG00000008087.1)". The record is from RNAcentral. Lineage: Eukaryota; Metazoa; Chordata; Aves; Passeriformes; Paridae.
CAAAAGGUGAAAAUUCAGGAAUAUGCUCCAGGAACCCGCUUGCUGUGGGUGCAGGUGCUCACAAAGCUCAGAGCAUGCAGCCAUGAGCUCCCUCUCUCCUCACCACCAAGGGUUAACCACAGCCAGGGAUUGCUCCAAGCAAAGUUCAGCCUCUGCUUCAGUGUGGAUGGCAUGGACAGGCUUCCCAAAAGCAGUAUGUUCCAGGGAGAGGAAUUCUGGUAUUAGGAGGUGCUCUCCAAGAUCCUGAAGCUGUUCUGAGCUGUGGCUGCUGUCUGCUUUGCUUUGUGUCCUUUGGGAAGGCCCUGCCCUGCUGGGGGCUCAGAGGGGAGCACAGGCAGCGCCUCCCAUGCAGUGCUGAGCUCUUUGGGCACAUCUCAGUGUGUGAGGCAAGGACUCCUGGCUCUGCAGGAGCUGCAGAAUCACAGGGUCACUGAAGUUGGAAAAGACCUCUGCAGUCACUAUGACCCAACACUGCCUUGUCAACGAGACCAUGGCAGGUCCAGCCUUCCCUCAAACACCUCCAGCCACCAGUGUCCUGCAGGAACAGCUCAGGACAGGCUGGCAGAGCACACACACCAGGGCUUACCCCACACCUUUUGGCAAGAUGUCCUUUCCCAUCCCAGCCUGUGGAAUGUUCACUGACUGGAGAAGGACUGCCUCAGAUAUACAGCCCCGUGGGGAACAGUCUUACCAGGUACAGUCCUUGACUGAGCACAGGCAAAUCAUCCCUGUGGGAAUCACUGCAGGACACUUCUCCUUGCCACCUGAGAAAUCCCUUUGCCAAAUGAAGAAAUCCUUAAUCAGCUGCCCCUUUGAAAGGAGAGGCAGCCAUGAAAGUGAGCAGUGCUGUGACUUCACCCAGGCCCUACCCCUCAGACCCUGCUCGAGCUUUGUCUCUAUAUUAAGUUGCACAUCUUUGAUUCCCCAGCCUUCCUGGGAAGCUUCCAAGGCUUCUUGCUUCAAGGCUCGUGCUGUGGCAGCGUUCCUAUUACCAGCCAGAAAAGUUUGGGAGUUCAGAACAAGGUAAAGUUACACAACCUCCAUUAAAAUAACACCACAGCAACGAGCUCAGCUUUCCUCAUCUCAGUAACAGCCACUCUGCUCUCUUCCAAGAGAAAGUCCUGCUGAAGUUUUCUGGCUGCAUGAGCCUGAGUGCCUGGUGUUAAUCCCCAGCCCUCUCCAAGCCCGGAUUUCAGCUCCUCACCAUGCCUGGCAGUCCUCAGUCAGGCAGCAGUGAUUUCCCAGGACUGUUCAACCACUGUGCUCAAGUUCCCUGCAAGGGUCUGGCUGGGGGAUGGAUGAGCCUUUACCCCUGUACAGGACUGUGUCCCGUGCAGAGCGAGCUGUGGGCUGGUGGCAGUGACAAA